RNA transcript from Dreissena polymorpha, 2755 nucleotides. RefSeq lists it as uncharacterized. The transcript has 5 exons. The record is from RefSeq and is a predicted model, not a curated record. Lineage: Eukaryota; Metazoa; Mollusca; Bivalvia; Myida; Dreissenidae.
AGGAGAACACUAGGUCUCAACCAUCUCGGCCUGUUUCAAGAAUUCCGGUUCUGUGCGAAAGAGAGGAAAAAACAUUAUAUUAGUUUAACAUUAAUAUUAACCUUUGUUAAAACUUAAAUAGUACAUUUCAAAUUUUUACAAAUCACAACUAAUGUUUUCUUGGCAAAGUUUUCUUUUUUACUGUUACAUCACCCUGAUUAAACACUGCUGAAUUACAAUGCUACAUUUAGUAAAUACAUUUUGAUUUCUCCAGGGGAUUUUUGCAUCGACACCAUGCAUCCACUUCAAACACUGAGUGUAAACCAUAUGGUUGCUGCAAUGAAGGAUUUGCUGAGAGAAGAAGCUGGCAAUCCAUAUUGUUUAUUGAAAGGAAAUGGCAUGUCACUAUACUGUUACCAUUCAGAGGAGGGAUACCUUUUACUCAUACAUUAUUUCAAGUGAUAUUUUAUUCAUCUUAGAGCCGGACCAUUAUGCAGGAUGGGAGGAGACGGGGUUUUGUGGAGAGCUCUGGGAAGGCAGCUCUUCCCAAAAAACUACAGUUGACAGUUUUGGAGGAGAAAUACCCAGGAAAAAGGAGAGGGAACUUUUCAAAACCUCCUACCGCCCCAAAAGGCAACAUAAGGGUGAGCGAGGACAACUGCGCGUUUGAAGUGCGCGUGGAGUUUCAGAAGAAGACGCUUUCGCCUACAUUGAAAGACAAUCGGCUCCUUGAGGAAGAGGACGAGGGCAAAAACACGCACCAGGAAGAUAACCGCUAAACGCGCUGCUAGACUGACUUCCCAAAAAUAAUCGGAAGGAGAGUCCGAGCACCGUAAAAUACCUCACAUACAAAGUAGGCCAUCCACAGCCGGUCCGAAUCCCGGGCCACGGACUCAAACAGACGCCAGUAUCUUAUAUAUAGUGAACGUAACCUGCCGAUAUAUCAAACACAGAAACUAGCCAUUUAUUUUUAUAUAAAGCCAUUUCGCUGAAUUUCGAAUGUUAUUUAUCGGAGCAACCCAGACUUUGACCUGCUCACGAGUCUCUUGUUUAUUUUCUUUGUGGACGAUGGAUGCAUCGGAGGCAUCGAUGACGGCAAGUCAGUGGAUAGAGUGGGCGGUCGAGAAAGGCAUAAGAGCAAAUACACAGGGAGUGUAUAUCUGGAGCGAGCCAGAGGAUGACGGGAUUGAGAAGCCGGCCAUCAUGGAGGAGACGCCCGCCAUUUCACCGGCACCCACGUCUGUCGGGUAAAGGUUGUCAGGUUCGUCCAGGGCGUCCGACCUGUCCAGUUCGUCCGACCUGUCCAGGUCGUCGAGUUCGUCAAUGUCGUCCAGAGCGUCCACGUCGUCCAGCUCCCUGUCGAGGUCGUCCAGUUCGGACUCGGAGUACGUCCCGUUUGAGGCCUCCGACUCCGACGAGGAUGUCCCUCUGGUGGCUCCGACGGUCCCUGUGGUGGCUCGGGUGGUCCCUCUGGUGGCUUUGCCACCACCCAGGCCUGAGAGGCGCAUGAGAAAUAGGAUUACGGAGGCGGAGGAACUGGCCAUAAACAUGGUAUUCGCAGAGGACAUUGUCUCGACGUCCUUGUCAGGCAAGAGUAUAGGCAUCGAAGUCGUGAGACGAAAAUACAACCGGGCGACCAUGGGCCGUUUGGGCUUUGAGCAGGUUCGAGCAAAGAUCCGAAACCUGGCCAAGGCUCGUGCAGCUCGCCUGACGGCAGGCCCUAUGUAGAGCCCUAGACCGGCUGAUAUUUCUUAUAUGUUUUUUUAAUAUGCUGUUAUGUCUUUGUUAAAAUGAAUAUGUAUUAGUAUACAUUGUAAGUACUGGUUCAACCCAGGAAAAUACUUUAUUAUUUGUAAAUGUUUUUAUAUGCUUUUAUGUCUUUAUUUAAAUGAAUAUGUAUUAGUAUACAUUGUAAGUACUGGUUCAACCCAGGAAAAUACUUGAUUAUUUGUAAAUGUUUUAUAUGCUUUUAUGUCUUUAUUUAAAUGAAUUUGUAUUAGUAUACAUUGUAAGAACAGGUUCAACCCAGGAAAAUACUUGAUUAUUUGUAAAUGUUUUAUAUGCUUUUAUGUCUUUAUUUAAAUGAAUAUGUAUUAGUAUUCAUUGUAAGUACUGGUUCAACCCAGGAAAAUACUUGAUUAUUUGUAAAUGUUUUAUAUGCUUUUAUGUCUUUGUUUAAAUGAAUAUGUAUUAGUAUACAUUGUAAGUACUGGUUCAACCCAGGAAAAUACUUGAUUAUUUGUAAAUGUUUUAUAUGCUUUUAUGUCUUUAUUUAAAUGAAUUUGUAUAAGUAUACAUUGUAAGAACAGGUUCAACCCAGGAAAAUACUUGAUUAUUUGUAAAUGUUUUAUAUGCUUUUAUGUCUUUAUUUAAAUGAAUAUGUAUUAGUAUACAUUGUAAGUACUGGUUCAACCCAGGAAAAUACUUGAUUAUUUGUUACAUUUUGUUUUUAUAUGCUUUUAUGUCUUUAUUUAAAUGAAAAUGUUUUAGUAUGCAUUGUAAGUACUGGUUCUACCCAGGAAAAUACUUGAUUAUUUGUAAAUGUUUUUAUAUGCUUUUAUGUCUUUAUUUAAAUGAAUAUAUAUUAGUAUGCAUUGUAAGUACUGGUUCUACCCAGGAAAAUACUUGAUUAUUUGUUAAUGUUUUUAUAUAUGCUUUUAUGUCUUUGUUUAAAUGAAUAUGUAUUAGUAUACAUUGUAAGUACUGGUUCAACCCUGGAAAAUGCUUGAUUUUUUGUUUCCUUUUUAUACAUGAUCAUUGAUUAGUACUGGUUAUA